Molecule: ribosomal RNA, 269 nt
Filed under: uncultured archaeon
Lineage: Archaea
Description: partial 16S ribosomal RNA
Rfam family: Archaeal small subunit ribosomal RNA
Source: RNAcentral
CAGCACCUCAAGUGGUCAGGAUGAUUAUUGGGCCUAAAGCAUCCGUAGCCGGCGCUGUAAGUUUUCGGUUAAAUCUGUACGCUCAACGUACAGGCUGCCGGGAAUACUGCAGCGCUAGGGAGUGGGAGAGGUAGACGGUACUCGGUAGGAAGGGGUAAAAUCCUUUGAUCUAUUGAUGACCACCUGUGGCGAAGGCGGUCUACCAGAACACGUCGACGGUGAGGGAUGAAAGCUGGGGGAGCAAACCGGAUUAGAGACCCGAGUAGUCC